Molecule: ribosomal RNA, 484 nt
Filed under: uncultured bacterium
Lineage: Bacteria
Description: partial 16S ribosomal RNA
Rfam family: Bacterial small subunit ribosomal RNA
Source: RNAcentral
AUUGAACGCUGGCGGCAGGCCUAACACAUGCAAGUCGAGCGGAUGAAGGGAGCUUGCUCCUGGAUUCAGCGGCGGACGGGUGAGUAAUGCCUAGGAAUCUGCCUGGUAGUGGGGGAUAACGUCCGGAAACGGGCGCUAAUACCGCAUACGUCCUGAGGGAGAAAGUGGGGGAUCUUCGGACCUCACGCUAUCAGAUGAGCCUAGGUCGGAUUAGUUAGUUGGUGUGGUAAAGGCCUACCAAGGCGACGAUCCGUAACUGGUCUGAGAGGAUGAUCAGUCACACUGGAACUGAGACACGGUCCAGACUCCUACGGGAGGCAGCAGUGGGGAAUAUUGGACAAUGGGCGAAAGCCUGAUCCAGCCAUGCCGCGUGUGUGAAGAAGGUCUUCGGAUUGUAAAGCACUUUAAGUUGGGAGGAAGGGCAGUAAGUUAAUACCUUGCUGUUUUGACGUUACCAACAGAAUAAGCACCGGCUAACUUCGUG